This 440-nucleotide ribosomal RNA is filed under the name uncultured bacterium. Its description in RNAcentral is "partial 16S ribosomal RNA". It matches the Rfam family "Bacterial small subunit ribosomal RNA", at positions 338 to 795 of the family's 1533-position model. The record is from RNAcentral.
CCUACGUGAGGCAGCAGUGGGGAAUAUUGCACAAUGGGGGAAACCCUGAUGCAGCGACGCCGCGUGAGUGAAGAAGUAAUUCGUUAUGUAAAGCUCUAUCAGCAGGGAAGAAAAUGACGGUACCUGAGUAAGAAGCCCCGGCUAACUACGUGCCAGCAGCCGCGGUAAUACGUAGGGGGCAAGCGUUAUCCGGAUUUACUGGGUGUAAAGGGAGCGUAGACGGCAGUGCAAGUCUGGAGUGAAAGGCGGGGGCUCAACCCACGGACUGCUCUGGAAACUGUACGGCUGGAGUGCAGGAGAGGUAAGUGGAAUGCCUGGUGUAGCGGUGAAAUGCGUAGAUAUUAGGAGGAACACCAGUGGCGAAGGCGGCUUACUGGACUGUAACUGACGUUGAGGCUCGAAAGCGUGGGGAGCAAACAGGAUUAGAUACCCUUGUAGUC